GCCCGUCGCGAGGCGGACGGAGGGAUGGAUGAGGUUACCUGGAAAAAAAUCGGGGCGAUCUAGGCGGGCGAACCUCGCCAACGAACGAUCGGACAUGGGGAUAACGGAAGAGGGCGUCGGCUCGACUUCGUCGGUUCCUCGGGCCGAGGCACGUACGGUGAAUAGGGACGGUCGGGGCCGCCCGUACCGGGUCGUGAGAGGUGAAAUUCUAGGAUCGACCCCGAGACGAACCGCCGCGAAAGCAUUCGGCAAGGACGCUUUCAUUAAUCAAGAACGAAAGUCGGGGGAUCGAAGACGAUCAGAUACCGUCGUAGUCCCGACCGUAAACGAUGCCGACCGAGGGCCCGGAGGAGUUACGUACGACCCUCCGGGCCCUCCCCGCGAGAAAUCAGGAGUAUUCGGGUUCCGGGGGGAGUAUGGUCGCAAGGCGAACUUAAAGGAAUUGACGGAAGGGC
This 455-nucleotide ribosomal RNA is filed under the name uncultured eukaryote. Its description in RNAcentral is "bacterial SSU rRNA". It matches the Rfam family "Eukaryotic small subunit ribosomal RNA", at positions 718 to 1165 of the family's 1831-position model. The record is from RNAcentral.